Nothobranchius furzeri (turquoise killifish) is the source of this 807-nucleotide non-coding RNA. NCBI's taxonomy places the organism in Eukaryota, Metazoa, Chordata, Actinopteri, Cyprinodontiformes, Nothobranchiidae. The record is from RefSeq and is a predicted model, not a curated record.
CACGGGCCGGUCUAGCAAGGCCGGGUCCUUGCUUGCUGGACGACCGGAACCCAGCGGCUCUGAAUUCGGACAGUCUAGCCUUCACCUCUACGGUGGCCCGUAGGUCCCGUCCCGUCACAGCCGUGGCGGCAGCUACACGCAAAGGAAAAAUGCUAAAGCUAGCGAAAAUCGAGCAGGAAUAUUAAGGAGCUACAGCAGCUUCACGUCCAUCAGCAGCGUUUGUUCACAACCGUUUUCAGGUCAGCAUGCACUGUGCUGCACAUCUGCCUCUGUGCUGGUGAAGUUGUGGGUCUGGAGGAUGAGCCUGAGGAAGAUGUGUGUGGAGGAGGUCAGUGGUGCUCUGUCCUGGAGGAGGUACCAGCAGACCACCACUAUUGUUAACAGGCAAGUCAUUCACAGAGAUGUAACAGCCGUCGUCUGAGCCAGCCCAGCAGUAGAUGGACGAUGGAGUGGACAGUGAGAGCAAGCGUCCCAAAGCUCUCUCGGCAGACCGUCCUGUAUGAUGUUCUUCUGGCCAGAAACGUCCAGCCACGGGUCUGCUCCAGCCCUCCAUCCACGUCUGGAUCCUCCUGCAGCAGAUCCAGCUGCACUGUUAAAGACUUCCUGCUCACUCAGUUUAAAUAAAUGAUCCAGGAAGAGUCACUCAGGUUAAUCCUGCUUUAACCGUACAUAACUGGUUCAUAUUGGUUUUCAUCUGUAAAUAAGUAACGUAUUAUAAAUAAUCUUGUCUCCUUACCAUCUUUUCAUUUUCUGUUCAUGUAACAUGUUCAAAAACAUCUGUAAUAAUAAAACUGGCGAUAAAAUCAA